ACUCUGACUGGCUUUCUCACAUUGCAGUCACCUCUUCCCCUUUCUUUCCAAAACGCACACAUCUACUUUCCAAAAUAGACCACAACUAUUUCUAUUGAGCUGGAAGAAGCUUGUACCAGGCAACCCAUUUAGGAGCAGCUGGAUGGAGAGGGAGAUGCUACUUAUCACAUCGGUGUGUGUCUUAUGGAUGCAAUGGCCACAGGUGAAUGGACAACAGAUAAUACAAAUUCCUCAUUUCCAGCAUGUACAAGAAGACGAGGACUUCACCAUAUACUGCAAUUCCUCAACCACUUUAGACAAUAUACAGUGGUAUAAGCAAAGGCCUGGGGGACAUCCUGUCUUCUUGAUAAGGUUAGUGAAGAGUGGAGAAGUGAUGAAGCAGAAAAGACUGACAUUUCAGUUUGGAGAAGCAAGAAAGAACAGCUCCCUGCACAUCACAGCCACCCAGACUACAGAUGUAGGAACCUACUUCUGCGCAGGGCACAGUGCUUCCCAACCACCUGCUGCCUGCCUUUAAAUCUUGCCCUGGGUCUUCAAGAGCAGGCCAUCCUACUCUCCCCGAAGAGCAGGAGGCAGAGAAAGCCUAAGUCACAAUGCCUGUGAGGAUC
Non-coding RNA from Callithrix jacchus (white-tufted-ear marmoset), 608 nucleotides. The record is from the annotation of a RefSeq genome assembly. NCBI's taxonomy places the organism in Eukaryota, Metazoa, Chordata, Mammalia, Primates, Cebidae.